Molecule: ribosomal RNA, 494 nt
Filed under: uncultured bacterium
Lineage: Bacteria
Description: partial 16S ribosomal RNA
Rfam family: Bacterial small subunit ribosomal RNA
Source: RNAcentral
GACGAACGCUGGCGGCGCGCUUAACACAUGCAAGUCGAACGGAAAGGCCUGCUUUCCCUUGUGGAUUGCGGGUACUCGAGUGGCGAACGGGUGAGUAGCACGUGAGUGAUCUGCCCCCAACUUGGGUAUAAGCCUGGGAAACUGGGUCUAAUUCCCGAUAGGACUGCAGGGUGGUGCCUGUGGUGGAAAACGAUUUUCUAGUGGUUGGGGAUGAGCUCGCGGCCUAUCAGCUUGUUGGUGGGGUAAUGGCCUACCAAGGCGGCGACGGGUAGCCGGCCUGAGAGGGUGGACGGACACAUUGGGACUGAGAUACGGCCCAGACUCCUACGGGAGGCAGCAGUGGGGAAUAUUGCACAAUGGGCGGAAGCCUGAUGCAGCGACGCCGCGUGGGGGAUGACGGCCUUCGGGUUGUAAACUCCUUUCGACCGCGAGGAAGCCACCUGGUUGGAAGGGUGGUGACGGUAGUGGUAGAAGAAGCACCGGCUAACUACGUG